ACGAUGAUGCCCAGCUUGCUGGGCGGAUUAGUGGCGAACGGGUGAGUAAUACGUGAGUAACCUGCCCUUGACUCUGGGAUAAGCCUGGGAAACUGGGUCUAAUACUGGAUACUACCUCUUGCCGCAUGGUGGGUGGUGGAAAGGGUUUUACUGGUUUUGGAUGGGCUCACGGCCUAUCAGCUUGUUGGUGGGGUAAUGGCUCACCAAGGCGACGACGGGUAGCCGGCCUGAGAGGGUGACCGGCCACACUGGGACUGAGACACGGCCCAGACUCCUACGGGAGGCAGCAGUGGGGAAUAUUGCACAAUGGGCGGAAGCCUGAUGCAGCGACGCCGCGUGAGGGAUGACGGCCUUCGGGUUGUAAACCUCUUUCAGUAGGGAAGAAGCGAGAGUGACGGUACCUGCAGAAGAAGCGCCGGCUAACUACGUGCCAGCAGCCGCGGUAAUACGUAGGGCGCAAGCGUUGUCCGGAAUUAUUGGGCGUAAAGAGCUCGUAGGCGGUUUGUCGCGUCUGCUGUGAAAGCCCGGGGCUCAACCCCGGGUCUGCAGUGGGUACGGGCAGACUAGAGUGCAGUAGGGGAGACUGGAAUUCCUGGUGUAGCGGUGAAAUGCGCAGAUAUCAGGAGGAACACCGAUGGCGAAGGCAGGUCUCUGGGCUGUUACUGACGCUGAGGAGCGAAAGCAUGGGGAGCGAACAGGAUUAGAUACCCUGGUAGUCCAUGCCGUAAACGUUGGGCACUAGGUGUGGGGGACAUUCCACGUUUUCCGCGCCGUAGCUAACGCAUUAAGUGCCCCGCCUGGGGAGUACGGCCGCAAGGCUAAAACUCAAAGGAAUUGACGGGGGCCCGCACAAGCGGCGGAGCAUGCGGAUUAAUUCGAUGCAACGCGAAGAACCUUACCAAGGCUUGACAUUCACCGGACCGCCCCAGAGAUGGGGUUUCCCUUCGGGGCUGGUGGACAGGUGGUGCAUGGUUGUCGUCAGCUCGUGUCGUGAGAUGUUGGGUUAAGUCCCGCAACGAGCGCAACCCUCGUUCUAUGUUGCCAGCACGUGAUGGUGGGGACUCAUAGGAGACUGCCGGGGUCAACUCGGAGGAAGGUGGGGAUGACGUCAAAUCAUCAUGCCCCUUAUGUCUUGGGCUUCACGCAUGCUACAAUGGCCGGUACAAAGGGUUGCGAUACUGUGAGGUGGAGCUAAUCCCAAAAAGCCGGUCUCAGUUCGGAUUGAGGUCUGCAACUCGACCUCAUGAAGUCGGAGUCGCUAGUAAUCGCAGAUCAGCAACGCUGCGGUGAAUACGUUCCCGGGCCUUGUACACACCGCCCGUCAAGUCA
RNAcentral lists this ribosomal RNA (1329 nucleotides) under Kocuria rosea. RNAcentral describes it as "bacterial SSU rRNA". It matches the Rfam family "Bacterial small subunit ribosomal RNA", at positions 66 to 1404 of the family's 1533-position model. Lineage: Bacteria; Bacillati; Actinomycetota; Actinomycetes; Micrococcales; Micrococcaceae. The record is from RNAcentral.